CUCGCCACAAGCAGCAAUGCUUUCCUCCUCAACUCCCCAAUUCGUGUCGUCCUUUUCUCCUUCCAUUCCUGCCAACGUUUUCAAUCCCCCGACCUCCCUAGGUCCUCCACUGUCUGAACGGCAUGGAACUCUCUCGGUCUAUCCCUGUGCAGUGCAGAGGGGCGGAAAAUCGGCGACGGGAGGACGGUGCCAUCGGGUGGCGGAUCCGGCAUUCCCCUUCGCUUCCGGCGGCCGAUUCGGCGAGUGGGAUAAGCGAUGGCCAGGCUUCUCCCCGUCCGUACGGCGUCAGAUACGGUGUCGCGAUGAGCCGGAUGCCUUUUGUAUCGUGGAUCCGAUCGACCGGAGUCCAUGGUGGUUGACGCCGUCAGAAGCUGAGCCGGUGAUGAUGGUGGCCAUCGACGAGGCGACAGUUGCUAGGGCUUCAGGCCCUAUUUCGGGGAGGAUGUUUGCGGCAGCUCUUUGUCCUUCGCGUCGGCAGAGGCACGGAACAGUCCAUCAUGUGGGGAUUAUCCCCGGCCGAUGCGCUGGAAUCUGAUCUUUAUUCCUGUUCGCUGGGACGGGAUAUACUUGCGGCCUCCAAAGCCUUUGAACGCGAUGCAGAUCGAUGGUGUUUCAAUGGUGGCUUGACCACAUGACGAGUGUCCGGCCGGCUUGAUUGCAUCGGCGAGCCUGGGGUGUUGGUGCAUAUUUUGAGUUUCUGUGGGUUUCGCGUUGCUUUGGUGACUUCCGUCUUUGUGUCUUUACGCGUAUGUAUUGUGCUCGGCAAAUCUGAAUCCCUCUACAGGUACAUCUUCAUCAACCUGAGUUGAAGCCCACACCGUAACUCAUCUCCUUCCUGUACACUUUGCCGGUGGCGGCCGGCCGAUGGCUGGGCGCAUCUGAAGCCCUGAAUUACUAACCUCCCUCCCUUAUGAGCUCCCCCUCCUAUAUAUAGCCUGAUGUUGAGUUUAUUUAUCCCCAAUCCAUGGACUCUUGCUUCCUAUCCGUUCAAUUUCUUCAUGUACUAGAUUCAACGUGUUUGUAUUUCAGGGCUGAUCAGUAACUGAUAGUAUGUUUUCGUCUGCAAUUGAUUGGCUGCCGUAUGCACUGCUAUUAAUCUUCCUUCGGCCAGAGAUCUCACUCAUCUUCAUCCGCCAUUUCAUUUUUUUUCUUAGUCAGGAUUUAUGUUUAGAUAACUAGAUUUAUGUGAAAUUUUACUCUGUCAUGUUUUUUAUGCAGGAAGGUCAUUAACAGAUGUCAAAUUAAUUCACCAUGUAUGUACCAGAGUUUGCUCUUGCAAUAUUUGACAAAGGUAUGAAACAUCUACACCCUCGAUGCCGCCUGGAACCUAUUUCAAUAUUGCCAAUUUUCCUGCAGCAUGUUAUUUUUUUGCUGUUAGAUUAUUAGUAUACCAUGAACUUGACAUGUUGAUCAUUUUUUACUUGCUUUCCUUUUGUAUGUUCACGGCGAGUCAAUGUUUGUAUUAUGAAUCCCAUCUCCAGCAUGUGUACCAAGUUAAACUACGAACAUUUUCAGGCAUCUCAAAACAUGGACAUGUUGUCCCUUCCAGGUUCCAUCACAAUUCACAAGUAGUGAGAGGAUUGUUAUUAUCCUUUGGAAUACUACUUUAUAGUCGAACUAUCCUAGAUAAUCAUCACCAGUUAGUGUAGUUGCUUCUGACGAUACUGAAAAAAUUUCAAACGAGGUACUGCUCAUAGAUCCGCAUAAAGGUCUAAAACACUUCAACACCUGCAAUAUACCAUAUAUUUAUCUAAUAAUUCUUCUCAUGCAGGUCAAUUGCUGAUAACAAUGAAUACGUACGAACCACCAUUACUGACAGAAAAUCAACAAAUCAACAUCCUGCUAGCACUACAAACAAGAAGAACGCAGGAAACAUGUCAGGACAGGUAGAGUAAUGCCCCAAGAAACAAAAACUCCAUCAAGGGCAUGCUAUGCUACAAUGAAGAUACAUGCUUCAGUUUCUACCAUGUCGAUUACCUAUAUACAGUAUAAAUAAUUUCUACUUUGAUCUCCACCUAUUAUAACUGAGAAAGGUUCUACUACUAGAUGUUCUUCAGUGGUAUAAAAUUACAAAUGUAUCAUCAUGUUGGACUAUAUGUAUCUGCAUCAAUUGCUAUUAGUGCGCACAUUUUCUCCAAACCUCCACUGCGAGGCAUGUGUUUUACUCUUCACCUUACAUCAAUGUACAUUGCCAGCUGUACAGAAUGUGCAAGUCAGCUUUACAGUGUAGUUACUUGAGUU
Molecule: long non-coding RNA, 2241 nt
Organism: Triticum aestivum (bread wheat)
Lineage: Eukaryota; Viridiplantae; Streptophyta; Magnoliopsida; Poales; Poaceae
Exons: 3
Source: RefSeq, a predicted model, not a curated record